Long non-coding RNA from Mastomys coucha (southern multimammate mouse), 1970 nucleotides. RefSeq lists it as uncharacterized. Lineage: Eukaryota; Metazoa; Chordata; Mammalia; Rodentia; Muridae. The transcript is spliced from 2 exons. The record is from RefSeq and is a predicted model, not a curated record.
UUGGUCCGAACAGCAGCCAGGAGCAAUUUAUCAGACCACCCGUGAAGCUGGACCUGCUAGGAAGAUCCUUUGGAGGCCACACCUGCCAUCUCAGACUAGCCUUGCUUCACAGUAGUAACUGAGAGACAGAAAGGGGUCAGGGCAGCUCCAGGGGCAGAGCCCCUGCUAGGGAGGAGAACAUUGGGUUGUUGGCCAUAGAAUUAGGAAGGAUAACUAUAGCAGCAGCUCUAGGGUGGGCCUACCUGGUCAGAUGCUUAAAAUGACUGUCUCCAGUGGUUCUUCCUGAAGCUCAGGCAGGGUAAACACUGGUGGGGAGGAAAGAUAUUAAGAAGCAGCUUUGUAACACAAAGGUGAUGGUAGGUCAGGAGACCGAUUCAGGUCCAACGAGGCCCUAGGAAGUGAGCUAACUGAACUUCAGAGUUUAGCAAGUUGGUGGAGGAAGGGACUUUGUCUUUUGCUUAGGUAGGUGGCUGAAUUAGUACUUAAAUAAUGAGCGGGUUCUUCAGUGAGAAAGGAAAGAUGCUGGAGAGCAAGGCUGCUGGGGCCCAAGAUGCUGAUGACAGAGUGGACACCCUAAACACCCUGCACCAGAAGCCAGAAGAGUAGGCUAGGGGGUCUCAGCCAGCUUUCACCCAGUAUCUUUGCAAAUUAUAGAUUGUACACAGCUCCUUCUCUGUCCAUAAAGGAAAUGGCAUGUGCAGGGUCUCACUUCUCUCUUGAGAGCUGCUAAGGUCUAACAAGAGUAAGCUAAGAGUGUGUUCUCUUCUAGAAAGUGGAGACCUUUGCUAUUCUUUAGGAAGGACUUUCUGGCUGGAGAGGAAAGGGAGCCUUUCAGCAAGAAUCCCAGAGGCCAGGAAUCCUUAGGCACUUGCUUAGAGAUGCGAGAGACCAGGAGGCAUCCAACCUGGGUGCCGAGGUGCUGUGGACAGCAAAGGAGACAAGCGGCUCCACUCUGGAAGACAGCAGUGUCUAGACAAACAUGAUUGUUAGGAAAAGGAAAAUCCCAGAGUCUUAUGUGUGGUGCCAGAAGGCGGGAUGUUAUGAUGCAUAGUGAGCCUCAGUCAUUUGAGCUUUGGUUCACUAAAGCAGAGAAGAGUCCCAUGGCUGCUGAGAAGGCAGACUCUGGACGGAGCUGCAAGGGCUGGUGGUGUCCCGUCUCGUGGGAGCAAAGGUAACAAACUACAAAUAAAGGGACACUGCUACACUCUCACCUGCACCAUGUACUAUGGCACAUGCUCCAAAAACCGUCUGUGAGAAGAAGCAUCUCUCCUCACUAAGGCCAGGCAACCUGCUUCCUCACACUUGUGCACAAACCUUCAGCCUGAGGCUCCUUCCAGAGUCUCUUCCCUGGCCUGGGUUUCUGCAAAGACCAUGGCCAAGUACAGAAGCUCAUGGCUGUGGCACCAGGACCACAGCAAGGCAACAUAGGAAGCGUGUGUCUUGAGUCCUGUCAACAUUUACAACGUGCUGUGUAUACUCAACAAGGCCCUCUCUUAUUUCAUACCCCAUAAUGAGUCAGCCACGGCUGCAGACAUUACAACCAUCUUCUGCUCCCAGGAAGAUUGCUGUCUCCAGAGAUGGAUGGGACUUGCCAGAGUUGGAAACCUAGAAGGUGGCAGCGCAGUACUUCAGGCAGAGAAGAAUGGCAGCCUGUGCCCUAGUGCGAGCCAUACAGAAUAGAGAGGAAAGUUGACAUUAUGACAUCUAUCCCAGAGAUAAGAUGUCUCAGGAAACUCUGUCGUUCCCAAACUGCCUUUCAGGGAAAGGUCCCAACCACAUCCCCGACUUCUGUCAGCUUCGCAGACCACCAGGAUCCUGAUGGCAUACCUUGAAUCGGAGUCCCAAAUGCAAGAAGGCCUACAGGGCCUUGGCCUGGACUCAGAACUUUCCAGAGGAGACUGACUUUCUCAGAGCCUGACUGUCCACUCCACCAAUGGGUAUCACGAGAUAAAUAAAUGUUGGUCACCUGC